Molecule: ribosomal RNA, 483 nt
Filed under: uncultured bacterium
Lineage: Bacteria
Description: partial 16S ribosomal RNA
Rfam family: Bacterial small subunit ribosomal RNA
Source: RNAcentral
GACGAACGCUGGCGGCGCGCUUAACACAUGCAAGUCGAACGGUAAGGCCCCUUCGGGGGUACACGAGUGGCGAACGGGUGAGUAACACGUGAGCAACCUGCCCUUGACUCUGGGAUAACAGUUGGAAACAGCUGCUAAUACCGGAUACGACCUUCGAUGACAUCAUCUGGAGGUGGAAAGCGCUUUAGCGGUCAAGGAUGGGCUCGCGGCCUAUCAGCUUGUUGGUGAGGUAACGGCCCACCAAGGCUUCGACGGGUAGCCGGCCUGAGAGGGCGACGGGCCACACUGGGACUGGGAUACGGCCCAGACUCCCACGGGAGGCAGCAGUGGGGAAUAUUGCACAAUGGGCGCAAGCCUGAUGCAGCAACGCCGCGUGCGGGAUGACGGCCUUCGGGUUGUAAACCGCUUUCAGUUCCGACGAAGCGCAAGUGACGGUAGGAACAGAAGAAGGACCGGCCAACUACGUGCCAGCCGCCGCCGUAA